CUCAUAUUGAACCUAGUGAUUUAUGAGUUAGUGGCGGACGGGUGAGUAACGCGUGGAAAACCUGCCGUAUACCGGGGGAUAACACUUAGAAAUAGGUGCUAAUACCGCAUAAGCGCACAGCUUCGCAUGAAGCAGUGUGAAAAACUCCGGUGGUAUACGAUGGUUCCGCGUCUGAUUAGCUAGUUGGCGGGGUAACGGCCCACCAAGGCAGCGAUCAGUAGCCGGCCUGAGAGGGUGAACGGCCACAUUGGGACUGAGACACGGCCCAAACUCCUACGGGAGGCAGCAGUGGGGAAUAUUGCACAAUGGGGGAAACCCUGAUGCAGCGACGCCGCGUGAGUGAAGAAGUAUUUCGGUACGUAAAGCUCUAUCAGCAGGGAAGAAAAUGACGGUACCUGACUAAGAAGCCCCGGCUAACUACGUGCCAGCAGCCGCGGUAAUACGUAGGGGGCAAGCGUUAUCCGGAUUUACUGGGUGUAAAGGGAGCGUAGACGGCAGCGCAAGUCUGGAGUGAAAUGCCGGGGCCCAACCCCGGAACUGCUUUGGAAACUGUGCAGCUUGAGUGCGGGAGAGGUAAGUGGAAUUCCUAGUGUAGCGGUGAAAUGCGUAGAUAUUAGGAGGAACACCAGUGGCGAAGGCGGCUUACUGGACCGUAACUGACGUUGAGGCUCGAAAGCGUGGGGAGCAAACAGGAUUAGAUACCCUGGUAGUCCACGCCGUANACGAUGAUUACUAGGUGU
This 740-nucleotide ribosomal RNA is filed under the name uncultured bacterium. Its description in RNAcentral is "bacterial SSU rRNA". It matches the Rfam family "Bacterial small subunit ribosomal RNA", at positions 67 to 823 of the family's 1533-position model. The record is from RNAcentral.